RNAcentral lists this ribosomal RNA (598 nucleotides) under uncultured marine eukaryote. RNAcentral's name for it is "SSU rRNA". It matches the Rfam family "Eukaryotic small subunit ribosomal RNA", at positions 608 to 1218 of the family's 1831-position model. The record is from RNAcentral.
AGUUGUUGCAGUUAAAAAGCUCGUAGUUGGAUUUCGGUUAAGAGCGACCGGUCCGCCGUUUGGUGUGCACUGGUUGGUUUUAACUUCCUGUAGAGGACGUGCUCUGGGUUUAACGACCUGGACUCGGAGUCUACGUGGUUACUUUGAAAAAAUUAGAGUGUUCAAAGCGGGCUUACGCUUGAAUAUUUCAGCAUGGAAUAACACUAUAGGACUCCUGUCCUAUUUCGUUGGUCUCGGGACGGGAGUAAUGAUUAAGAGGAACAGUUGGGGGCAUUCGUAUUUCAUUGUCAGAGGUGAAAUUCUUGGAUUUAUGAAAGACGAACUUCUGCGAAAGCAUUUGCCAAGGAUGUUUUCAUUAAUCAAGAACGAAAGUUGGGGGCUCGAAGAUGAUUAGAUACCAUCCUAGUCUCAACCAUAAACGAUGCCGACUAGGGAUUGGCGGUCGUUUUUCCGACUCCGUCAGCACCUUAUGAGAAAUCAAAGUCUUUGGGUUCCGGGGGGAGUAUGGUCGCAAGGCUGAAACUUAAAGAAAUUGACGGAAGGGCACCACCAGGAGUGGAGCCUGCGGCUUGAUUUGACUCAACACGGGAAAACUUAC